RNAcentral lists this long non-coding RNA (1383 nucleotides) under Heterocephalus glaber (naked mole-rat). RNAcentral's name for it is "lncRNA (ENSHGLG00000041778.1)". The record is from RNAcentral. Lineage: Eukaryota; Metazoa; Chordata; Mammalia; Rodentia; Bathyergidae.
ACCGCAGGCCAGGGACAGAUGGGCCAGUUCAGUCCUGGCCCUUCCUGGACACACACAUUCUUUCGGGCUCUCCUCACGUCAACCUCAGGAAGUGGGCACCAUGAGGUCAUCUUGGAAUGGAACCAGGGCUCAGAGGUUACAAGCUGCAAAGUGGAGGCUGAGGGGCUCAGGACCAUACCCCACACCCCAGGCCUGUCUCCCGCACCGUUAGGACAAUGUCCAUAGAACAGACACCAUGUGGUCAAGAGAGGAGUCUGCUGGGCCAGGCUCAUUUAUGAGCCAGGCUUAUGGGUCAGGGCUCACAGGUCAACUGGCAAUGGGCCUCGUUGGGGCAUUGUUCCACUCUGACUCAGGGGUGGCAGGCAGGUGAGCAGCUGGAGGCAGAAGCAGCUCUUGCCAGGGGACAGCACAGCAGACCCAGGAGAGACAGUGACACACAGGAAAGCUGCUUCGACACAGGAGCCACAUGGAGUCUAACGCACCUUCCUCUUGUUCCCAGCCUUCGCUGAGACUCUGAGCUGGACCUCCUGGGCCACCGUCCUUCCCCCAAACCUGCUCACUGCUUCCUGCAGGGAACACUGACCCUUCACCCUCAGGGGUGGUUUCCCCCCAGAGUCCCCUGGUUCCUGUGCAAAUGGACCCAGUCCCUGGGGUCCCCUUCCACAUCCACCCAGUGAAUCUUGUCCUGGGACAGUUUACUCCCCGGGAAAGGACUGCUCAGGUGACAAAGGAGCCUGAGGCCAGCACAGACUGAAACAGUAGGGAGUGCACUGUCUGGCGGGGGCAGGAGAUGGAGAGGAUGGAUUUUCCUAGACCAGCAUUUGUUUAUUUAAUUUUUAAAAAUGAUUUAGUUUGUUUUUUCUUUCAUGACAAGGUCUCACUAAGUAGUACAGACUGGCCUUGAACUUACAGGGUUCCUCCUGCCUCAGCCUCCCAAGUGCUGGGAUGACAAAUGUGUGUCACCACACCCAGCCACUUCUCUCUGGUGUUUGGACAUGGUGGUGAUGCUUGAUGGCUUCCCCAGGCCACCCCUGCAUCUCUGCACUGCCCACUCCAUCCUGGCCUUGACUCAGGGUCUUGGCUCCCCAUCCAUGAGGUGGCAUCGCGAAGUUCAAGUUCCCAGCCCUCUGUGUGACCCUGGCUGGGAGCAGGAGCCUCCCCACAUCCACCCCCGCCCUGGAGGAAGCCAGAAUCUGGGGACAGAUUCCUGGUUCUCACAGCAGGAGGACGCCCGGAGCCAUAGACAGGCUGGCCUGCAAGCUCUCACCCACCUGCCAACAACAGCACACAUGCACCUGGCUGCUCCCAAUGCACUUGAACGCACACCUUAUGCACUCACGCACAUACAUGCCAUGCUUGCUUCAAGCAUGCAAGUACAGAGAU